UGAAACAUGGAUAAUAGAUUCAGGCUAUUCGGAUCACAUGACUGGUUCUAAGAAGGCAGGGGUACGUAUAGCUGAUGGUAGCCUCUCAGCAGUUGAAGGAAUAGGCAGAGUUCGGAUUAACCACGACAUAGAGUUAUUUCCAGUACUCUAUGUUCCAAAGUUAAACUGUAACCUAAUCUCUAUAAAUCAGAUUACUAGAGACCUAAAGUGUGAAGCUCUAUUCAGUGCUAAUCGUUGUUCCCUGCAGGAAGAAGGCUCCGGGAGGACGAUUGGAACUGCUAGCCUUCAUGACGACCUCUUUAUCAUGAGUGGAGCCAGGAGGGAGGACGCGGAUGAAGGACAAAGACACACUUAAGCUACUAGCAUUCUAAAUAGAGAUGAGAGCCACAUUAUGUUAUGGCAUAGUCGGUUAGGACAUCCUAGUUUCAGAUAUUUACAGAAGUUGUUACCUAAGCUAUUUAUUAAUAAAAACCCCAAUGAUUGGCAAAGCACACCCGCAACAGUUACCCUGGUCUUCGGUACAAGCCAACACAGCCAUUUGCGAUUAUCCACAGUGAUGUUUGGGCAUCAACGAGGGUGAAAAACAUCAACGGGGCCAGAUGGUUCAUCACAUUUAUAGAUGAUAACACUAGGCUCACUUGGACCUUCCUCAUGAAAGCGAAAUCUGAGACAACAAUAGUGUUUCAGGGGUUCUAAGAUAUGAUUUUCACUCAGUUUGGCACAAAGAUACAAGUCCUAAAAACUGACAAUGCCAAUAACUAUUUUAACUCAGAAUUAGGCAUCUAUCUCUCUCAACGAGGAAUCAUACACUGCAGUUCCUGUGUUGAUACCCCACAGCAAAACGGUAUUGCAGAACGCAAGAACCGACACCUCCUUGAGACUGCUAGAGCACUAAUGUUCACCAAACAUGUGCCGAAACAUUUAUGGGGAGAGGCUGUUCUAACAAUCACGUACCUAAUCAAUCGCAUGCCCAGUAGGGUCUUGGACUUCAAGAUUCCUAGACAUGUUCUUCUCGCAGAUUUUCCCCAUCUUGCCUGUUCUAACAGCCACUUACCUAAUCAACAGACUAUCAUGUCGAAUCCUAAACUAUCAGACCCCCAAAGAUGUUCUAGUGCAAACAUAUCUGCAUGUGCAGGCCUACAUGUCAGCCAUGGACCCGAAGGUAUUCGGGUGCCUCGCUUUUGUCCACAUUCAGCAGCACCAACGGACCAAACUUGAUCCGCGUGCACAGAAAUGUGUGUUUAUCGGCUAUGCACCUCGCCAACAAGGCUACAAAUGUUAUUCACCAGCUACUAGUAAAAUAUUCACUACUAUAGAUGUAACGUUUUUUUGAGAACUCCGGGUAUUAUAGCAAUCCAGAGCUUCAGGGAGAGAGAGAGGACCCUAUAGUAGUAGGAGCAGAAACUCUGGAUAUGCUCAUUUCCAUGGAUGCACCAGUAAUGCCACAAGUCGUGGUAGCCUCACCAAGUUCCCUAUCAGAACAUGAGGAAAGACGAUAACCAGACAUUCAGCAUGUGUACCAAAGAAGGAGAAGAGCAGAUCCAGAAGGUUCCAGGGAGACUACAACUGCAGAAAGUCUAGUUGAUGUGGAAGAUGUGGUUGAACCAGAACCAGCUCCACAAUCAGAAAAUGGAGAAAUUGUAGUUGAAGAACUGCAUCAGCCCGAAAACUAUGACCUAUACUUGCCAAUAGCAAUGAGGAAAGGCGUCCGGGAAUGCACUCGUCACCCUAUUCAAAGGUAUGUCAAUUAUGGUCGUCUUAGUCCAGAAUUCCGAGCCUUUACAAGUCACCUGGAUACUAAGCCAAGAACCAUUGAGGAGGCAAUGAAAAUACCAGAAUGGAGACAGGUUGUUCUUGCUGAAAUUGCAGCACUGGAAAGGAAUGGUACAUGGCGAAUAGUCACUUUACCACACGGGAAACACACCAUGGACUGUAAGUGGAUAUUCACCAUCAAACACAAGGCAUAUGGCAGUGUAGAAAGGUACAAGUCACGACUUGUAGCUCGUGGCUUUAUUCAAUCCUACAGAAUUGAUUAUCAGGAAACGUUUGCCCCUGUGGCAAAACUAAACACAGUGAGUAUCCUACUUUCCAUUGCC
Molecule: long non-coding RNA, 2096 nt
Filed under: Linum usitatissimum (flax)
Lineage: Eukaryota; Viridiplantae; Streptophyta; Magnoliopsida; Malpighiales; Linaceae
Description: long non-coding RNA (LUSI_LNC008113)
Source: RNAcentral